This 383-nucleotide ribosomal RNA is filed under the name uncultured eukaryote. RNAcentral's name for it is "partial 18S ribosomal RNA". It matches the Rfam family "Eukaryotic small subunit ribosomal RNA", at positions 592 to 976 of the family's 1831-position model. The record is from RNAcentral.
CAAUAGCGUAUAUUAAAGUUGUUGCAGUUAAAAAGCUCGUAGUUGGAUUUCUGGUGGGAGCGAUCGGUCUGGCGCUUAGCGCGAGUACUUGCAUCGUCUCCGGCCAUCCUUGGGGGGAGUCUGUCUGGCAUUAGGUUGUCGGGCAGAGGAUCUUCAUCGUUUACUGUGAAAAAAUUAGAGUGUUCAAAGCAGGCUUAUGCCGUUGAAUAUAUUAGCAUGGAAUAAUAAGAUAGGACUUUGGUACUAUUUUGUUGGUUUGCGCACCAAAGUAAUGAUUAAUAGGGACAGUUGGGGGUAUUCGUAUUCCGUUGUCAGAGGUGAAAUUCUUGGAUUUACGGAAGACGAACUACUGCGAAAGCAUUUACCAAGGAUGUUUUCAUUAA